This 589-nucleotide ribosomal RNA is filed under the name uncultured Bacillus sp. RNAcentral's name for it is "bacterial SSU rRNA". It matches the Rfam family "Bacterial small subunit ribosomal RNA", at positions 338 to 918 of the family's 1533-position model. The record is from RNAcentral. Lineage: Bacteria; Bacillati; Bacillota; Bacilli; Caryophanales; Bacillaceae.
CCUACGGGAGGCAGCAGUAGGGAAUCUUCCGCAAUGGACGAAAGUCUGACGGAGCAACGCCGCGUGAGUGAUGAAGGCUUUCGGGUCGUAAAACUCUGUUGUUAGGGAAGAACAAGUACAAGAGUAACUGCUUGUACCUUGACGGUACCUAACCAGAAAGCCACGGCUAACUACGUGCCAGCAGCCGCGGUAAUACGUAGGUGGCAAGCGUUAUCCGGAAUUAUUGGGCGUAAAGCGCGCGCAGGCGGUUUCUUAAGUCUGAUGUGAAAGCCCACGGCUCAACCGUGGAGGGUCAUUGGAAACUGGGGAACUUGAGUGCAGAAGAGAAAAGCGGAAUUCCACGUGUAGCGGUGAAAUGCGUAGAGAUGUGGAGGAACACCAGUGGCGAAGGCGGCUUUUUGGUCUGUAACUGACGCUGAGGCGCGAAAGCGUGGGGAGCAAACAGGAUUAGAUACCCUGGUAGUCCACGCCGUAAACGAUGAGUGCUAAGUGUUAGAGGGUUUCCGCCCUUUAGUGCUGCAGCUAACGCAUUAAGCACUCCGCCUGGGGAGUACGGUCGCAAGACUGAAACUCAAAUGAAUUGACGGGG